This 1476-nucleotide ribosomal RNA is filed under the name Staphylococcus aureus. Its description in RNAcentral is "partial 23S ribosomal RNA". It matches the Rfam family "Bacterial large subunit ribosomal RNA", at positions 1449 to 2925 of the family's 2925-position model. The record is from RNAcentral. Lineage: Bacteria; Bacillati; Bacillota; Bacilli; Caryophanales; Staphylococcaceae.
UAAUCGUUUUAAUCGAUGGGGGGACGCAGUAGGAUAGGCGAAGCGUGCGAUUGGAUUGCACGUCUAAGCAGUAAGGCUGAGUAUUAGGCAAAUCCGGUACUCGUUAAGGCUGAGCUGUGAUGGGGAGAAGACAUUGUGUCUUCGAGUCGUUGAUUUCACACUGCCGAGAAAAGCCUCUAGAUAGAAAAUAGGUGCCCGUACCGCAAACCGACACAGGUAGUCAAGAUGAGAAUUCUAAGGUGAGCGAGCGAACUCUCGUUAAGGAACUCGGCAAAAUGACCCCGUAACUUCGGGAGAAGGGGUGCUCUUUAGGGUUAACGCCCAGAAGAGCCGCAGUGAAUAGGCCCAAGCGACUGUUUAUCAAAAACACAGGUCUCUGCUAAACCGUAAGGUGAUGUAUAGGGGCUGACGCCUGCCCGGUGCUGGAAGGUUAAGAGGAGUGGUUAGCUUCUGCGAAGCUACGAAUCGAAGCCCCAGUAAACGGCGGCCGUAACUAUAACGGUCCUAAGGUAGCGAAAUUCCUUGUCGGGUAAGUUCCGACCCGCACGAAAGGCGUAACGAUUUGGGCACUGUCUCAACGAGAGACUCGGUGAAAUCAUAGUACCUGUGAAGAUGCAGGUUACCCGCGACAGGACGGAAAGACCCCGUGGAGCUUUACUGUAGCCUGAUAUUGAAAUUCGGCACAGCUUGUACAGGAUAGGUAGGAGCCUUUGAAACGUGAGCGCUAGCUUACGUGGAGGCGCUGGUGGGAUACUACCCUAGCUGUGUUGGCUUUCUAACCCGCACCACUUAUCGUGGUGGGAGACAGUGUCAGGCGGGCAGUUUGACUGGGGCGGUCGCCUCCUAAAAGGUAACGGAGGCGCUCAAAGGUUCCCUCAGAAUGGUUGGAAAUCAUUCAUAGAGUGUAAAGGCAUAAGGGAGCUUGACUGCGAGACCUACAAGUCGAGCAGGGUCGAAAGACGGACUUAGUGAUCCGGUGGUUCCGCAUGGAAGGGCCAUCGCUCAACGGAUAAAAGCUACCCCGGGGAUAACAGGCUUAUCUCCCCCAAGAGUUCACAUCGACGGGGAGGUUUGGCACCUCGAUGUCGGCUCAUCGCAUCCUGGGGCUGUAGUCGGUCCCAAGGGUUGGGCUGUUCGCCCAUUAAAGCGGUACGCGAGCUGGGUUCAGAACGUCGUGAGACAGUUCGGUCCCUAUCCGUCGUGGGCGUAGGAAAUUUGAGAGGAGCUGUCCUUAGUACGAGAGGACCGGGAUGGACAUACCUCUGGUGUACCAGUUGUCGUGCCAACGGCAUAGCUGGGUAGCUAUGUGUGGACGGGAUAAGUGCUGAAAGCAUCUAAGCAUGAAGCCCCCCUCAAGAUGAGAUUUCCCAACUUCGGUUAUAAGAUCCCUCAAAGAUGAUGAGGUUAAUAGGUUCGAGGUGGAAGCAUGGUGACAUGUGGAGCUGACGAAUACUAAUCGAUCGAAGACUUAAUCAA